AGGGACGCCAUGUUGUCGGGGGACGCCAUGUUGUGAGGCGGCGCCGUGUUGUCGGGGGACGCCAUGAGGCGGUGCCGCAUUGUGAGUUUGAAAUAAGUGGAAAACACAAGCCUGUUGGACGUGGGGUUAUGCUGAAACAGUACAGCAGGAGUCCAAAUGGGAGAGGAAAUCUUUGCAUGAUCAGUGCCACCAGGAGAUAAAUAAGCAGUGGGAACCAGGAGGAGGAGGCUCUGAGGAGCUGUGACCUUGCACUGCUCUUGCUCUAUGUGGCCAACUGCCUGAACUGAACAAAUAUCCUUGGAACGCCGUACUCUGAUUCAACCAAGAGAAAAUGCAUUCCCACGGUAUCAUCAAAGGAGCUGCAUCCAGCACCAGAUUUUCCUACCGACCAGACCAACAGGCCGAGUCUGGCAGCCCUGUACACCAGCUCUCGUGACUCCAGCUGAUACAUUCACAUCAUGAGAAGGCCCAGGUAAAGAAAAUGUGAAGUUCUUGGUAUAUUUGCUACGACCUUCGUACCUAAUGAUGAAACAAACCCCAACCACAGGUAAGAGAUUCUUACAGACUCUUUCCCUCUCAGAAAGAAAAUGUACAAAUUUUAAAGUAUGAAAAGAAAAUCCUCUAUUUUUGGUACUCUCUUGUCACCAUGUGAAAGUUACAGAAAUCUGAAGGCAAGCCACAAUGGAGUGAAAGAUGCUUCACUAGUUAUGAAUUUUCUCCCUUUGGGAAGGUAUAUUAAGAACACUUAGAAAGCUUUCUUGAUAUAAACAUGUUGAAAAAUUGCUUUUUCACUAUGAAAAGCAUUUUAAUGUCUCACAAACAGAUUUUUCUGUGAAUCUAUAAAUACACAUAUGGAAAGAUAAUAUAACCAAUAUAACCAUUUGGUGCUGGUAUGUGAAAAGAUCAUAUCUUAUUUUUCUAUCAUUGCUUAAAGCAAACUGCAGCAUUAGCUGUACAACAAUCUUCAUUAAAACGCUCAACUGCAUUUGGCUUGCCUCACAAAAUUAUCAAUCAUACUUUAUUUUUUUCACAGAUCUAUAAAUCAGUCAAAUAGUCUACAAUUAAAACAAUCUAAUAACUCCCUCUAUGUUUAUUACAGUUCUUUUAUGAUAAUUAAAAGUAUACCUCACUUGAGCAGCAGGUAGCUUUAAGCAAGCAGAGUUGCUCUGAGCUCUGUCCAGCAAGAACAGGAGUCACUGUAAGAUUGCCCAAAGCAAGGGGAAAAAAAAGGCUGGUGUUUGUGAUGUUGGUGGCUCACACACAAAUCUCCUGGAUACACUGUACUACUAGUUGAGCAAGUAAUACACACUGCCAAAUGCUUUUUCCUCUCCUCCUUCUGUUAAUAAAACCAAGAGCAAUGCUGUUUGCUGCUGCCCGCACUAGAGGAGGCCAAGCUCAGUAGGCAGGGUCUGAUGUGAGCUCUUUGAAGGUAGCCAUAGGUCCUCUGAUUUGACAGCAGCCACCAGCUACGGGGAAAAGUUUCAUGUAAUUUAGGGCUGAAGGAAAUUACACUGAAACUCUUUUUUUCUAAAAGCAUCUUUAAUUUCAAUCCAAAUACAGUACGUUUGCAGCACAACAUUAGAAUUCCUGUUCCAACAUUUCAUAAUACAUUAGUUUCCUGUAAUU
This is a non-coding RNA of Meleagris gallopavo (turkey), 1626 nucleotides long. NCBI's taxonomy places the organism in Eukaryota, Metazoa, Chordata, Aves, Galliformes, Phasianidae. The record is from RefSeq and is a predicted model, not a curated record.